This 465-nucleotide ribosomal RNA is filed under the name uncultured bacterium. RNAcentral describes it as "partial 16S ribosomal RNA". It matches the Rfam family "Bacterial small subunit ribosomal RNA", at positions 338 to 795 of the family's 1533-position model. The record is from RNAcentral.
CCUACGGGAGGCUGCAGUGGGGAAUAUUGCGCAAUGGGCGAAAGCCUGACGCAGCGACGCCGCGUGAGGGAUGAAGGUCUUCGGAUCGUAAACCUCUGUCAGCAGGGAAGAACGGUCACUGUGCUAAUCAGCAGUGAAUUGACGGUACCUGCACAGGAAGCACCGGCUAACUCCGUGCCAGCAGCCGCGGUAAUACGGAGGGUGCGAGCGUUAAUCGUAAUUACUGGGCGUAAAGCGCUCGUAGGCGGUAUGUCAAGUCAAGGGUGAAAUCCCCGCGCUCAACGUGGGAACUGCCUUUGAAACUGGCAGACUGGAGUGUGUGAGAGGAUAGUGGAAUUACAGGUGUAGGAGUGAAAUCCGUAGAUAUCUGGAGGAACAGCAGUGGCGAAGGCGACUAUCUGGCACAUAACUGACGCUGAGGAGCGAAAGCGUGGGUAGCAAACAGGAUUAGAUACCCGAGUAGUC